UGAAAAUCCAAACAGAGCCCAAGUCCAAGCCUCAUAGCUAGAAAGUUGGAACCGCAUGCAUCUAUGGCACAUAAAUUCUAUACAUCUUUCAAAAGAUUUUUUAUCCACCUUCCGGUGUUUGAGAUCCAUGCAAUCAAUCUCAUCCAUUGGACCUCCUUCAAUCCUAACCUUCUGCUCCUGCUGCCUCCUUCCCUACCAUGGGCGCCGCCUCCUCCUCCUGAAUCCGAGCUCCGCCCGCCAUGGCGCCGCACUUGCUCGGCGUGCUCCGCUGCCGCCCGCUGCUCCGCGCGCCGACCGCCGGCUCUGAAGAAGAAGAUUUAUAGGAGCGGGAGUUUUCCGCUUCAUUUCCGAUCCGGCCAGUCAGUCAACGCAACACACAGCUACCUCUCUGUUUCGCACUAUACAGUGCUCAAAGCGCCCCCUGCUCCUUAGCUACUUCAGAAAGCUGAGUGGACGGAGUCACUCAGCUCAUCCUAGGAAGGAUGAGAGCCGUACGUCCGCUGCAUUUCGACAUUUCGUCGACCUUUCCACUUGCUGGUUCCCUGCAUCUCUAUAAAAACAGCGCGAGCGGUGCUGUGUGAUCACCAUCAGUUGGUGGGUGCUUCGCUGGGGUGCAGUGCACGCAGCAAGAAAACUGAGUCUCAGCAGAUACCUGCAGAUCAGCUUCUGACCAGUACUUUCCUCUAUCUAAUGGGGGAAAUGGUGGCUUCAGCCCUUGCUCAGGAGGGCGUGAGCAGGCUGUCCUCGUACAUCUCAACCAAGCUCGAUGAUAGGGCAUCCAGAGCACACACCGUCGCAAGGCUCGAGAUGGCACUCUCUCGCUUGGAGUUUGUCCUUGAAUGGUCCAGGAAGCAGCCAAUCACAUACGUCUCGCUGAUCCGUCGCUGGAACAAGUUCAGGUGCGCCUACCAUGAGGGAGUAUAUCUACUCAACAAGCACAAGCUGCCGGCGCUCGAAGGCCAUGAAGAAACUGGUGGGUAAGUGGUGGUAACGCGUCCCCCCUCCUUCCUUGGACGGAUUAUUGCUAGUGCUGCGAGCUUCUCCAUCUCAUCUCUUGCUGGCCUAAACAAGCAGUGCUUGAGCUCUAACGUUGUCCAAAUCAUUGAGGUGUACGCAGAUAGUGUUGGCGAGUUUGUAGCGGACGUGGAGUCCGCCUGCCCACUCCGGCGCGACACCUUCUUCCCCUACCCAUUUGUCAGGCAACUUCUUCAAGGGAAAUAUCUCAGCUAUAACAAGGUGAAAGGAAGACAAAAGCACCAUUUUAUUGUAUCUCCUGUGAUUCUGGAAGGGCGUGGCGUAGAGGCGUUGCUAUGGUAUGAGUAUUUCGAUCCUGAGAGGCUAGAUAAAAGUUUAUGUCUAGGCUUAGUGCUACGGCUGUCGGAAAGCACGGACAUAGUUGGGGCUGCUAUAGAUUGCUUGCGGUCAUCCGCAUCACUGCUCAACCUUCCAGCUCAAGAUGCAGUAAUGGGAGAGCUCACCCAGGUGCCUAAUUUACAGGACAUUACGGAUUCGUAUGCUUCACCCUGGGUUUUUGACUUUGAAGACUGCUAUCCUUGCUUUAGUAAAUGCUCACGCCCGGAUCCACUAUGUUGCCAACGAAAUGGGCACGAGUUAUCGCACAUAUUCCAAGAGCAAACUAUUUUUUUCAAUUCCAGUUGUUACGUCACAGCACGAGAUUACAACUUGCCUAGCGCAUCUAACGAAGCUGGUACAAACGUCAUUACAGAUCCAUCAUAUCUUCAGCUGCAGGUUAUAUUCCACCCUCACAAAUCGAGUUACAACAAUUAUGUAAACGAGGCCAUGGGUGAAAGCAAAAUAGAAGAACAGCCAUUUGGUAGCAUACAACAAACGGUUGAUAUGAUAAGAUCAAGAUCAAUCGACUAUCUCAUCCGUCAGCUAGAGGUGAUAGAGUAUUAUUGGGUGUCCUGGUGCUCUAGACAUGGUUAUGCAAAUUUUACUGUGAGAAAGCCAAGUAUGGGCACGGCAGGUGUGCCCAAAGCCAGCGGCAGGUACAACACCCGGAGUGCAGCUGCAAAGAGAAAGCGGUAGAAGCUAGCCUUGGUGUUGUCUCAACUAGCUAGUAUACAUAUUGUGUGCUGAUAUUUGAGAAAUGAAUUGUGAUGUUGCAGUUCU
RNA transcript from Panicum virgatum (switchgrass), 2133 nucleotides. RefSeq lists it as uncharacterized. Lineage: Eukaryota; Viridiplantae; Streptophyta; Magnoliopsida; Poales; Poaceae. The record is from RefSeq and is a predicted model, not a curated record. The transcript has 4 exons.